Molecule: ribosomal RNA, 497 nt
Filed under: uncultured bacterium
Lineage: Bacteria
Description: partial 16S ribosomal RNA
Rfam family: Bacterial small subunit ribosomal RNA
Source: RNAcentral
GAUGAACGCUGGCGGCGUGCCUAAUACAUGCAAGUCGAGCGAACAGACGAGGAGCUUGCUCCUCUGACGUUAGCGGCGGACGGGUGAGUAACACGUGGAUAACCUACCUAUAAGACUGGGAUAACUUCGGGAAACCGGAGCUAAUACCGGAUAAUAUAUUGAACCGCAUGGUUCAAUAGUGAAAGACGGUUUUGCUGUCACUUAUAGAUGGAUCCGCGCCGCAUUAGCUAGUUGGUAAGGUAACGGCUUACCAAGGCAACGAUGCGUAGCCGACCUGAGAGGGUGAUCGGCCACACUGGAGCUGAGACACGGUCCAGACUCCUACGGGAGGCAGCAGUAGGGUAUCUUCCGCAAUGGGCGAAAGCCUGACGGAGCAACGCCGCGUGAGUGAUGAAGGUCUUCGGAUCGUAAAACUCUGUUAUUAGGGAAGAACAAAUGUGUAAGUAACUAUGCACGUCUUGACGGUACCUAAUCAGAAAGCCACGGCUAACUACGUG